RNAcentral lists this ribosomal RNA (1112 nucleotides) under Clostridioides difficile. RNAcentral's name for it is "bacterial LSU rRNA". It matches the Rfam family "Bacterial large subunit ribosomal RNA", at positions 765 to 1895 of the family's 2925-position model. Lineage: Bacteria; Bacillati; Bacillota; Clostridia; Peptostreptococcales; Peptostreptococcaceae. The record is from RNAcentral.
CGUGGAGGUCCGAACCCACGAGCGUUGAAAAGCUCGGGGAUGACUUGUGGGUAGCGGUGAAAUUCCAAUCGAGCCCGGAGAUAGCUGGUUCUCCCCGAAAUAGCUUUAGGGCUAGCCUCAAGGUGAGAGAUACGGAGGUAGAGCACUGAAUGUCCUAGGGGGUAUUGCACCUACCGAAGACUAUCAAACUCCGAAUGCCGUCAUCUUAUACUUGGGAGUCAGACUGUGGGUGAUAAGAUUCAUAGUCGAAAGGGCAACAGCCCAGAUCGUCAGCUAAGGUCCCUAAAUGUAAGUUAAGUGGUAAAGGAUGUGGGAUUGCACAGACAACCAGGAUGUUGGCUUAGAAGCAGCCACUCAUUCAAAGAGUGCGUAAUAGCUCACUGGUCGAGUGAUCCUGCGCCGAAGAUUUCCGGGGCUAAAACUUACUACCGAAGCUACGGCAUCAGUAAUGAUGGGUAGGGGAGCUUCCCAUACGGGUUGAAGCAUGACCGUAAGGACAUGUGGACAGUAUGGGAGUGAGAAUGUUGGCAUGAGUAGCGAGAUGUGGGUGAGAAUCCCACAGGCCGUAAACCCAAGGUUUCCAGGGGAAGGUUCGUCCGCCCUGGGUUAGUCGGGACCUAAGCUGAGGCCGAAAGGCGUAGGUGAUGGACAACAGGUUGAUAUUCCUGUACUACCGAUAACCGUUUGAGAGAAGGGAUGACACAGUAGGAUAAGCUAAGCACACUGUUGGUUAUGUGUGCCCAAGCAUUGAGGCAGUCAAAGUAGGCAAAUCCGCUUUGAUAAUGCUGGGAUGUGAUGGGGAGCGAAAUUUAGUAGCGAAGUAGCUGAUUUCACACUGUCAAGAAAAGUCUCUAUCGAGGUUAAAGGUACCCGUACCGCAAACCGACACAGGUGGGUGAGGAGAGUAUCCUAAGGCCAGCGAGAGAACUGUUGUUAAGGAACUCGGCAAAAUGACCCCGUAACUUAGGGAUAAGGGGUGCCACCAUCAGGUGGCCGCAGAGAAUAGGCCCAAGCGACUGUUUACCAAAAACAUAGGUUUCUGCUAAGUCGCAAGACGAUGUAUAGGAGCUGACGCCUGCCCGGUGCUGGAAGGUUAAGGGGAUCUGUUAGAG